Long non-coding RNA from Phasianus colchicus (ring-necked pheasant), 597 nucleotides. RefSeq lists it as uncharacterized. Lineage: Eukaryota; Metazoa; Chordata; Aves; Galliformes; Phasianidae. The record is from RefSeq and is a predicted model, not a curated record.
GUAAACUUUGACAACUCACCUUGUGCUCUGUAAAUCUGAUGAACAUUUCUGUAUUAAUCUAUGAACUCUUUUUCCCAGUAACUCAUAUGCAUGGAAAUUGUGUGUGUAACUUUGAAGGAUGAUGUUACAGUAAAACAAGUUACUAUGCAACAAAAAGCAAGUUGCCAGCCAACAAUUUGGACUUCUUAGCUAGUGAGAAGACAUAGAAAAAAUAUUCACAUCCGACAAUGAUACAGAAUGAGAAUAUACAUCAUAUUACAGAGGAUCAUCAGGCUGAAGGGGCUAAAGAGGAAGAAUGGAUGGCAAAAUGUGAUUCUACUGCUAAAAAUUCUGGUUCUGAGUAGCACUAAGUAAAUCUGGGGUAAUUCAAGCCACUUGAGUGGAAUUGAGAAGUGCAGCAAAAAGAUCUAACUUACACUGCCUGGGACUUUAUGUAACAGUCAUCACAGUCAAAGGAAUAAUUCCCCAUCCACUUUUCUGGAUCUUUCUUUAUAAUACCUUCCCCCAUCCUUUAGGCACAAUAUAACUUCUACAAGGUAGAAUGAUAAGACAUAUAGACAACAACAAUCAAACAAUAAAAGUGAUUUCAGCCUGAAA